This 246-nucleotide unclassified non-coding RNA is filed under the name Hevea brasiliensis (rubber tree). Lineage: Eukaryota; Viridiplantae; Streptophyta; Magnoliopsida; Malpighiales; Euphorbiaceae. The record is from RNAcentral.
UUGCAUUUGAUUCAGAAGCAUUCCGUGAUUCGAGACGUUGAAAUUCAGAACUGUCAGAAAUACUUGAAUCAAGCUCAUCUCGAGGCAUACUUGAAAGAAGCACGUUCUCUGUUGUUCGAUCUCGGAAUGAUAAACGAUCAAUAACCCGAGGAAAGAGCUCCAGCACUUGACAGUACACAUGAAUAAAAUCAGUAUGCAUCAUGGCAACACAACCCCAGAAAAGCUGGGGAUAGAGUAUAACCUUUU